Molecule: long non-coding RNA, 261 nt
Filed under: Elaeis guineensis (African oil palm)
Lineage: Eukaryota; Viridiplantae; Streptophyta; Magnoliopsida; Arecales; Arecaceae
Description: long non-coding RNA (EGUI_LNC074677)
Source: RNAcentral
ACACCGAUGUGUAGACAACUCUUUAUCUAUAUGCUUCGCUAGGCAUGUUGCAGCUACUUGGUCUCUAAGUCAUGUAGGCUCACCUAACAGUUAUUGCCCACACUUCUUAGGUAAGCCUGACCCACCAUUCACAAGCAAGUGCAAGGUCAUUAUUGGGUCCCUCAUCUAACAGUUAUUGGAUCCAACCCCAUCCUUAUCCUGGAGCAACUCUUUGCUAAGAGAGUGGUUGCGUGUUCUUGAUGCAACUGAACUACUGUGACU